This is a long non-coding RNA of Cyclopterus lumpus (lumpfish), 1844 nucleotides long. The record is from Ensembl. Lineage: Eukaryota; Metazoa; Chordata; Actinopteri; Perciformes; Cyclopteridae.
CCGGUGGCUCCACAGUCGGCGCAGACCGAGGAAACUAACCUGAACCAGACCCGGAACGGUGUGCGAGAAGGGCACUUUCUUUAGUCCGCGACACGGGACCUGGCUCUUCAACGCGGACAUGUACCGCCCGGGUAACGGACCGCCGCCGUUCGGACCUCCACCCCCCCACGGCCCUCCUUUCAGGCCCCCCGGGCCCUGCGGUGUUCCUCCCCCGGGACAUUUCCUCCACAACAGGCCACCGAGAGAGCAUUUCGUCAUUCUUCAUCCAUGCAUCCCGAUGCCCUCUACAAACUUCCAAUUUUCCUGACAGACGUCAUUUCAACUGCAUGACAACAGACCGUGCGGUCAUAUUUGUCAACACAGUCCAGAUCAGCCACUACCAUUGGCUACUGGCACUACCAUAUUCCUGCUUUACAUUUGAUUGGCCCCACUGUAGCGGCUUCUCCAUAGCUCGUAGUACAGUGAAUGCUUUGGGAGGCGGCCAGCAGAUCGUCUCUCCUGUACAGCCACCGCACAUUGAAGCCCCACAGUGGAACCCCACAGUUGUGGAGCACCACCCUUUGGACAGCAGUGAGCGGGCUGGCGAGGAGUUCCUGAGAUGCAUCGCAGCCAACAAGCCUCUCCCAGACUACCUGAAAGGGAACAUGGAGUUCAACCUGGCUGACGCGUUUAAGUCGGCCGAUGUCCUGAAAGAGGUUCUCAAAUCGGACGCCGAGUUCCAGAAGCUCGCGACCAGGAGCAAAAGCCGCAGUCGAAGCCGCGGAAAAUCUCGAGCCAAGAGCCGAGCGUCCAGCCGAGGCCGAGCGAGGAGCAAAAGCCGAGCGCGGGGCAAGAGCAGGCCGAGGAGCAAGAGCAGGCCGAGGAGCAAGAGCAGGCCGAGGAGCAGGAGCAGGAGCAGGCCGAGGAGCAAGAGCAGGCCGAGGAGCAAGAGCAGGCCCAGGAGCAGGAGCAGGCAUCGCAGUCGGAGUGGGAGCCGGAGCAAGAAGAAGAGUCACAUGCGGAGCAAGAGCCGGGCCAGGAGGUCCAGGUCACGAAGUAGCAGCAGAGAAAAGGGCCACGGCAAAGAGAAGAAGAGGGGCCCCUGCCACAACAGCCUGUUGGAAGGACUGAAGCUGGUCAUGAACAGCAAAGAGCUGGAGGAGCGCUUGCCCACCCUCAAAGAUGCCAUCCUCACUAUUCAGGCCUCGGGCGAAAGCCAAACGGCGGAGAGCGUGCCCACCGAGGACGGACCUCGGCAGCUCGACUGCAACGAGAACGCGACGUCACUGGAGAACGACAGCAUGCUCCUCCCCCACGACAGGGUGGGCAGCGACUUCUCCUGGCUCCAGGUGCAGACUCCUCCCGUCGCCGCUGCCCCGAAGGCGGACGAGCUUGAAGACGAGGAGUCGUUUCUGUACGGGAGUGACGACGCCAGGGGAAAGCAGGCCAACAAAUUCUCCGGCGAACGCCUUGCGGCGUUCCCCCAGAUUAGAGAACGUGCCAAGCGACAGGAAGCGGCCAGUUCGGCCGGUCAGCAACACCAUCAGAACAAAUCCGCACUCGCCUACGCCGACCUGGACAGCAGUGAGUGUGAGAAGAUCAGGAACAUAUUAAAGAGUCUGGGCAAGGCAGACGUCAGCGAGAUGAUGGGGAAGAUGCAGCCGUCUGCUGCACUUCCUGCGUCUGACCGAACGGCGGCGGCCGUGGCUUUGCCCGCGCUGCGUAACCCCGAUGUGCGACACGCUCUGGAGUCUCUACAGUCACUGAUCAAAGCAUUUAGAUUGGCUCCCUGUGCGAUCUCCCGGAAAGAACGAAGGCCUCAUUUAUGGCACAAAGAGAGUGCCACGACCAUCGCGCCACCAAAA